This is a long non-coding RNA of Columba livia (rock pigeon), 1508 nucleotides long. RefSeq lists it as uncharacterized. The record is from RefSeq and is a predicted model, not a curated record. NCBI's taxonomy places the organism in Eukaryota, Metazoa, Chordata, Aves, Columbiformes, Columbidae. The transcript has 3 exons.
GGCAGCUAGAGGGAGGUGUGUGUACCCAGGGAGCACCGCAGGCACCCCGGGCAGUGGAUUGGGCACCCCGGGGACGGCGCGGACGCCCCGGGGACGGCGUGGUGACGCCGACGGCGAGGCGAGGGAGCCCGGGCUGCAGUUCUUCAUGAACUGCUCCAGCGUGGAUCCUCCAUGCGGUCAGAAGUCCAACAAACCUGCUCCAGCCUGGGCUCCUCUCCAUGGGGCCAAAGGUCCUGCCGGGAGUCUGCUCCAGUGUGGGCUUCUAUGGGGUCACAACCUCCAUUGGGCUCCACCAUGGACUUCCAUGGGCCGCAGGAUUAUCAAGAUACAAAAAAGCCCACAUUUUCUUCACAUAAAGCACAGGAAAGCGUCCAACUGAGAAGCACGUCCUUCCUGCCCAAGAAAAGUCUCCGCUGUGUUUUUGGGAUGGGGCAAAGGAUCCAGGAGCAGAGGAGCUCGAGAGAGGUGGGGAGACGGUGAACAUCUCAAACACAUCUCAAACACAUCUGCAGAGCUUGAACACCUGCGGGACAACCAAAAAGUGCUGCCGCCAGAACUGGCCGAAGAGGAUGAAAUUCAGACCCUCCACACCCCCAGUAAUGAAGAAUUUGGAGUUAGGACCUUGGCUUGAAGCCACAUUAAUGUAUUAAAUUCAGAGAUGAAGCGAUGAACUGGUGCAGAGCACCAUGUUUCAGACAAGGGUUGAAAAGAGUAGUAGAAAGGAAGAGUUGUUUGGGAAAAGAACCAGACUGGAUGUAUUUUUCAUGAAUCUGUACUUUCUGGAAGGAGAUGUCUUGUUUGAAACCAAGAGAUACUUACAGUGCAUGGAUAAGAAUUAAAAUGUUAAUAUUCAUUACAAAUUAAUGCAAAUUUUUUUCUUCUCAGGGUAAUUUCACGCAGAUGUGAUUAGAGUGCAAUUAGGCAAGAUGGAUUAAAACCUGAGCCUCAGAGUAAUCACUCUAGAAAAAUUAUAUUGGAAGAGUUUAUGUGUUAGGAACAAGUUAUUGGUCAUGGUGAAGAGCUCAGUCUUGCGAAUUAUCCACUUUUUUGACUUGUUUUCAAUUGCUUUCAAUAAGAUGCAAGGAUGGGGGGUUGUUUUCAGAAGGUGAAUGCUCAUGCACAUACAUCAUGGAUGUGAAUUUAUCGUAUUUUACUAGACACAAAGAAUUAAACUCAAAUAUUACCUUUUGGAGCACGUAGUCUUUCUUGAGAUCUAUAACAUUUCAAGUUAUUUUCCUACAUUACCUAAAUUGAGGGUUAAAACCACAUCCCUCCAGCUCAGAGAGUCGCUCUACACCAGAUUUACACAUUGACAAUAUAGAUAAUCCCAUAUAAUCCAGUUUGCUUCAAUUCCCUUGGAGCCUGGUAUUCAGCUGAUGUUGAGAUUUAGAUCUACAAAGCUUGGGCUGGCUUGAAACUGCCCCUUCAAGCAUAAUUUUCUUAAAUUAUGAGAUAUAAUUAAUAGGGAAGAGAGUCCUGGAUUUCUUCUUCAUUCAUGGGAAGAACUG